Molecule: long non-coding RNA, 798 nt
Filed under: Bos grunniens (domestic yak)
Lineage: Eukaryota; Metazoa; Chordata; Mammalia; Artiodactyla; Bovidae
Description: lncRNA (ENSBGRG00000007628.1)
Source: RNAcentral
AUGUGGGGAGGCUCCCUUCGGAAGCAAAAGGUCCCAGCGAACAGCGAGGGCACAAAAGGGUCCCCCGCGCGGCGCUCCGCACCCGCUCUUGGUUCCCCGGGCGGUUCCCGGGGCGAGGGGUGGGGUAGAAAGUGUGAAAAGCCCCGCCGGCGCCGGAAAGCGCGUCCGGGGGCCUCUGCAAGGGCGCCCGGCCCUUCGGGACCUGCGAGCUCUGAGGGGCCCCGCGGGCCUCGCGGCGGACAGCGAAAGCGAGUCCCGAGGUCCGAGAGCGCCGCGACCCGCCCUGCCACCUGGGGGGCCCCGCCGGGAGGACUCGGGCCAAACCCGGAGAAGCGGCUGACCACCCCGCCCUGGUCGUCGUCCACGUCCGCUCGGCCCACGGGGCCCGGCGCUGGACGUGCCCGCCCCGGGCAUCCAGCCCCUUCCGUCCGCCCCCGCCCCGGGAAGUCCCCGGCCCUGAGCCCAGCCGCCGCCCGGGGAGGUGUGGGCGAGCGCGCUGGAAGGAAACCGCGGCGGCCCGGCCCCUGGACGUGUCCGGGAAGGAACGCGGACUUUCUCUCAUUCCACAAGUCUUCCUUGUGUACACCCAGGAAGCCAGGCUUCACCGAUGACAAAGGGAAGACCCCGCUUGCUCCCUUUGUUCAGCCUCACUCCAUUCCUCAGGAAGUGAUCCCACAGGGCAAGCUUUGCCCUAUUCCAGAUCAGAUCAGUCGCUCAGUCGUGUCUGACUCCUUGCAACCCCAUGAAUCGCAGCAGGCCAGGCCUCCCUGUCCAACACCAACUCCCGGAGUUCACUGA